Long non-coding RNA from Tympanuchus pallidicinctus (lesser prairie-chicken), 2430 nucleotides. RefSeq lists it as uncharacterized. The transcript has 4 exons. The record is from RefSeq and is a predicted model, not a curated record. Lineage: Eukaryota; Metazoa; Chordata; Aves; Galliformes; Phasianidae.
CGCCAUGUUGAGGCGCGGCAGCUCCCCGCCCUUAUCACCUGAGGGAAAAGAGUAGUGCGAAGUGAAGGGCUGCUGCCGUUUUGAGGUUCUCCUGACUCUUCAGUUGAUCUAUAGCAAAGUGCAUUCAGAAAAGAGUUGAGCAUCACUGCUGACAGCUCAGCAAAAGCUCCAGAGAGUUUUUACAAGGAUGACACGGAUGUAGUGGAGAGAGUCCAGUAAAGGACCAUGAAGAUGAUGAAGGAUCUGAAACAUCUCUCUUAUGAGGAAGAAAUCACGCUGCACAGCGCUUCCAAGUAUGAACAAAUCUAAAUGAAGACAGCUGGCAGAGGCUCUCGUCAUCUAACUCCUUCCAGAUGUGUACUUGUAUGCCGCAGUUCCUGACUGGUGACACCUCUGAUGGAAUCCUUGGGGACAUGGCGGUGAUGGGCUUGCUUGAUUGGUGUUCUGCCAUUGGGUCAGCUGCUGUUAAUCCUAUAUUUAUAUUUACCCGAUACAUCUCUCACUCCAUUUUCUGGAAUUCCCCUGCUCUGAUGGCUGCAUUGCAGAACACUUAGCUUUCAUUUAUGUGCAGACGAAACCAAACUCAUUUGAAUUUUGCUGCUUCUUAAGCUCAAAGUUCCCCCUGCCCCUUUUUUUUCCCAACAUUUUUAACAGGGAUCAAAGGAUGUUUUUACUCUUGCAUGAAGCUGUUUCUUUAAAGCCUGUGUUACAAGUGAUCUGGUGAGGUUGUGCACUGAUGCUGAGCCCUCUGAGAGCUCCUGUGGCUAGCACGGAUUAAAGGAACUAGGUCAAAUUUCUAAACUAUAGCAUACAUCUUUCUGCUGUUCCAGCUGGACUAUCUAUAAAAGCUGGAAAAGAAAAUCAGAGUCCUGGAAAGAGGUUUUGCUGGAUGUGCACUUCCCAGAACUCCCCCGAAAGGCAAUCCAACUGUGCAGGCUGCAGCGGAGGAUCUUCAAAAGGUUUUUCCUAAAUCAACCCAGCCGGCUGAAAUCCACUGGGAAAACUUUUGAGAAUAUUGCUUGCAAGAUGGAUGGAUAAUGCAAAAAGCACGAAAACAAUAUGGAAGAAAAGACAUUUUUCUACAUGGUGCCAUUCCCAGCAUUAUCUUAUGUGAACUAAAGCAUAAAUAAAUGUGUUUCUCCUUCAGCCUUAAGUGCAGGUAGGAGGACAUCACUGCAAAAUAGUGUUCCCUGGCAUGGGACAGAAAACUGUUCCAUGCAUACAGCAGCACUGCAGAAUGGCUUGGGGUAAGCAAGGAAAAGAGGUUCCCCAUCCAUCAAAGCUCCUUCAGGGGAAGAAAUAGGCAGAGCAUGGCAUGCUACCAUCCCUGGUGGGAAAUAUGAGUGCCAUUUCCAUCCACUGGGCAGAGGGACUGCGCUAUUGAACUUUUUUCAUCUGUAGCUUCUAUGAAACAGUGCUGGCCAGCCUGGAACUUGGCCAAAACAACAUCCUGGUUCCUCAGCAAGUGCUGUGGGAUCAGACCACAUGUGACGAGGAUCCCAGCUCCGUGUUGCAUUGGGAAGCGAUGGCCGUCGUGACCCCUGCUGUGCCCUGGGAAAGUUGUUUGGCUGUGGCUCACAGGAAGGAGAAGGUUUGCUUUCUCCAGAUCCAGGAUUUCCUCUUAGGCCUUCCUUAUGUGCUGCAUCACAUCUUACCCCACUCUCACAUGCAGGGGCCAACAAUCACCCAGGCUACUGGCACUCCUGUGCUGGCCCUGGGGCUGCACUCUGGCUGCCUAGUCUGGAGGGGAGCCCCUACUUCUGACCCAGAGGUGCCCAUAGGACCGGGCAGCCUGGGCAUGGGACAAGCAGGCUUCCCAGCGUGGGAAAUUUCUAAAGAAGCAGUCUGUAAACCACAUUUUCAUCUAACUGGUCUAAAUAUAUUUCAGUUUCAAAACACACACUUAAAAAUAACUUACAGAAAUAUUUAUACGGACACUGAAAGGAACUUUCCAGCUUUAGGGAUUCAGCAAAGCCCGCAACUGCCUUCCUGUGCAGUCACUCCUAGCCUGUUGUUGAGCCUCUUGUUUUGAAAGCGUUGGAGUCUCUUUCUCCUCCAGUUAUCUUGCCUGACUCCACCCUGACACAUGAACUCACAGGGCUUUGCAUUCAGCGACGUCAGGACUGAUAUCGCACAGCAGCUUUUCCCACAGCUGCAAUCAUAACUCCUUCAACAGCACAAUUUUUCUUGCAAGCUAAAAGGAAAAAGUUUGGCUUGUGCAGGAGAAUUCAGCCCCAGGGAUGGGGCAUUACACAUCUUUAGGAGCUCCCUUUCUCAUUUCUUCACUCCAUGCUGGUUCAUUCAUCUGGCUGUCUCAGCUCCUGUGGGGCUUGGGGCAGAUCUCGGUCCUUGGCAAAUGCAUGUCAGCAUUGUAGUGUGGGGCAAAAAAUCAGAGCUUGAACUUUUUGGGUGGUGUGGCAAUAAAAAACG